UACAGAGGUCUCAAGCGUUGUUCGGAUUCAUUGGGCGUAAAGGGUGCGUAGGCGGAUCUUUAAGUCAGGGGUGAAAUCCUGGAGCUCAACUCCAGAACUGCCUUUGAUACUGGGGAUCUCGAGUCCGGGAGAGGUGAGUGGAACUCCGAGUGUAGAGGUGAAAUUCGUAGAUAUUCGGAAGAACACCAGUGGCGAAGGCGGCUCACUGGCCCGGUACUGACGCUGAGGUGCGAAAGCGUGGGGAGCAAACAGG
Molecule: ribosomal RNA, 253 nt
Filed under: uncultured bacterium
Lineage: Bacteria
Description: partial 16S ribosomal RNA
Rfam family: Bacterial small subunit ribosomal RNA
Source: RNAcentral